AUAUCCUACGGGGGGCAGCAGUGGGGAAUAUUGCACAAUGGGGGAAACCCUGAUGCAGCGACGCCGCGUGAGUGAAGAAGUAUUUCGGUAUGUAAAGCUCUAUCAGCAGGGAAGAAGAAGGACGGUACCUGAGUAAGAAGCCCCGGCUAACUACGUGCCAGCAGCCGCGGUAAUACGUAGGGGGCAAGCGUUAUCCGGAUUUACUGGGUGUAAAGGGAGCGUAGACGGCGAAGAAAGUCUGAAGUGAAAGCCCGCGGCUCA
This 261-nucleotide ribosomal RNA is filed under the name uncultured bacterium. Its description in RNAcentral is "partial 16S ribosomal RNA". It matches the Rfam family "Bacterial small subunit ribosomal RNA", at positions 334 to 611 of the family's 1533-position model. The record is from RNAcentral.